GUUUCUCCAUGUUGGUCAGGCUGGUCUUAAACUCCCGACCUCAGGUGAUCUGUCCGGCUCAGCUUCCCAAAGUGCUGGGAUUAUAGUCGUGAGCUACCACUCACGGCCGACCCUGUCUCUUAAAAAAAAAAAAAAAGGAAGGAAGACAAAGUCAGGUGGGGUCUUCGGGGAAGGCUGAUUGAAGAGCUGCUGCCCAAAGGGAGCAAGGAGGAACAGCGGGAUUACGUCUUCUACCUGGCCGUGGGGAACUACCGGCUCAAGGAAUACGAGAAGGCCUUAAAGUACAUCCGUGGGUUGCUGCAGACAGAGCCCCAGAACAACCAGGCCAAGGAACUGGAGCGGCUCAUUGACAAGGCCAUGAAGAAAGAUGGACUCGUGGGCAUGGCCAUCGUGGGAGGCAUGGCCCUGGGUGUGGCGGGACUGGCCGGACUCAUCGGACUUGCUGUGUCCAAGUCCAAAUCCUGAAGGAGGCGUGGGAGCCCAUGGAGAACGCUCCAGGAGGGCCUGUCCAUCCUCGCUGUCCCCUCCCUGUACUCCCCCUGCACCCCUGUCUCUGUCCUCUGUGGCCUUCAACUAACUUCUGCUCCCCUGAGACCCGUCCUUCAGCCCCAAAUCAUGUGCUUUGGGAUGAGUGUAAAUAAAACGGGGCUGUGGCUUGGGAACCCCCUUGUGUGUGUUGAGGGGAGGGGUGGGUUCUGAAUGCUGGGCACAGGGGGGUGGAGA
RNAcentral lists this small RNA (723 nucleotides) under Pongo abelii (Sumatran orangutan). Its description in RNAcentral is "processed transcript". Lineage: Eukaryota; Metazoa; Chordata; Mammalia; Primates; Hominidae. The record is from RNAcentral.